UACAGGGGGUGCAAACGUUGCUCGGAAUUAUUGGGCGUAAAGCGCGCGUAGGCGGCUACUUAAGUCGGAUGUGAAAGCCCUUGGCUCAACUGAGGAAGUGCACCCGAAACUGAGUGGCUUGAGUACUAAAGAGGGUCGCGGAAUUCCCGGUGUAGAGGUGAAAUUCGUAGAUAUCGGGAGGAACACCGGUGGCGAAGGCAGCUCGCUAACCGAUCAUUGACGCUGAGGCACGAAAGCGUGGGGAUCAAACAGG
RNAcentral lists this ribosomal RNA (253 nucleotides) under uncultured bacterium. Its description in RNAcentral is "partial 16S ribosomal RNA". It matches the Rfam family "Bacterial small subunit ribosomal RNA", at positions 524 to 776 of the family's 1533-position model. The record is from RNAcentral.